This 195-nucleotide ribosomal RNA is filed under the name uncultured eukaryote. RNAcentral describes it as "partial 18S ribosomal RNA". It matches the Rfam family "Eukaryotic small subunit ribosomal RNA", at positions 1 to 192 of the family's 1831-position model. The record is from RNAcentral.
CAAAACCUGGUUGAUCCUGCCAGUAGUCAUAUGCUUGUCUCAAAGAUUAAGCCAUGCAUGUCUAAGUGUAAGUAUUUUAAUGCGGGACUGCGAAAGGCUCAUUAACACAGUUAUUGUUUAUUUGAUUUGUCGAUUUAUCGUUUGGAUAACGGUAGUAAUUCUAGUGCUAAUACAUGCUUCAAGUGCACCCUUUGG